This 161-nucleotide unclassified non-coding RNA is filed under the name soil metagenome. RNAcentral's name for it is "partial internal transcribed spacer 1". The record is from RNAcentral.
CAGAGUUGCAAGACUCCCUAAACCAUUGUGAACCUACCUUCUACCGUUGCUUCGGCGGGCGGGCCCAGCGCCCCCCCCGGCCCCCCGCGGGGCGCCCGCCGGAGGAUACCCAAACUCUUGACAUUAGUGGCCUCUCUGAGUAUUCUUUACUGAAUAAGUCA